CCUACGGGGGGUAGCAGUGGGGAAUAUUGCACAAUGGGGGGAACCCUGAUGCAGCGACGCCGCGUGAGUGAAGAAGUAUUUCGGUAUGUAAAGCUCUAUCAGCAGGGAAGAAAAUGACGGUACCUGACUAAGAAGCCCCGGCUAACUACGUGCCAGCAGCCGCGGUAAUACGUAGGGGGCAAGCGUUAUCCGGAUUUACUGGGUGUAAAGGGAGCGUAGACGGUUAUGCAAGUCUGAAGUGAAAGCCCAAGGCUCAACCAUGGGACUGCUUUGGAAACUGGAAAACUGGAGUGCAGGAGAGGUAGGCGGAAUUCCUAGUGUAGCGGUGAAAUGCGUAGAUAUCACGCAGAACCCCGAUUGCGAAGGCAGCCUUCCGGCGCCCUACUGACGCUGAGGCACGAAAGUGCGGGGAUCGAACAGGAUUAGAUACCCUGGUAGUC
Molecule: ribosomal RNA, 440 nt
Filed under: uncultured bacterium
Lineage: Bacteria
Description: partial 16S ribosomal RNA
Rfam family: Bacterial small subunit ribosomal RNA
Source: RNAcentral